UUAUUUGAUAAAUAAAUAUCUAAAUUUUAAGUAUGUCAUUUACAAUGAUAAGAUGUUUUAAACUU
RNAcentral lists this transfer RNA (65 nucleotides) under Dermaphis japonensis. Its description in RNAcentral is "tRNA-Val". Lineage: Eukaryota; Metazoa; Arthropoda; Insecta; Hemiptera; Hormaphididae. The record is from RNAcentral.